This is a long non-coding RNA of Sinocyclocheilus grahami, 186 nucleotides long. RefSeq lists it as uncharacterized. The transcript is spliced from 2 exons. The record is from RefSeq and is a predicted model, not a curated record. NCBI's taxonomy places the organism in Eukaryota, Metazoa, Chordata, Actinopteri, Cypriniformes, Cyprinidae.
AUAAAACAGUACUUGACAUGGCAGUAUGUUCAGUUCAGGUGAGGCGUUUGUGUCGUGACUGACGGCAUCUACCUCUUUAACCAUGUAACAUCAGGAAUGUCAUUUUAAGCCUUAGCUGGUUUUCGACUGCCCUCCACUGGAAUGACUAUUUGCUAAAUCAGUGUAACCCAUUGAGCCAACACGUUU